RNAcentral lists this ribosomal RNA (256 nucleotides) under uncultured bacterium. RNAcentral describes it as "partial 16S ribosomal RNA". It matches the Rfam family "Bacterial small subunit ribosomal RNA", at positions 524 to 776 of the family's 1533-position model. The record is from RNAcentral.
GACAGAGGUGCCGAGCGUUAGGCGGAAUCACUGGGCUUAAAGCGUGUGUAGGCGGAUCUGUAAGUACCUUGUGAAAUCCCACGGCUCAACCGUGGAACUGCUUGGUAUACUGCGGGUCUUGAGCCACCUAGGGGCAAGUGGAACAAACGGUGGAGCGGUGAAAUGCGUAGAUAUCGUUUGGAACGCCAAUGGUGAAAACAACUUGCUGGGGGGGUGUGCUGACGCCUGAGACACGAAAGCCAGGGGAGCAAACGGG